This 2577-nucleotide long non-coding RNA is filed under the name Homo sapiens (human). RNAcentral describes it as "HSALNT0357809". Lineage: Eukaryota; Metazoa; Chordata; Mammalia; Primates; Hominidae. The record is from RNAcentral.
UCUACCGGUCUUCCAAGGCACUGAGAGCCCAUCGCCGCGGACGCCGCUGUAAAUUCCCUGCGGGCCCUGUGCACCACCCUGUGCGCGUCCCCCUCUCCCAGGCCAGGCUGAUAAUGUUAACAGCUCUCUGAGCUAUGCUCAUAUCCUGAACCACUGAGGACUGUGUUCUCCAGGAAUGCUCGCCUGACCCACGCCUGCCCUCUAAGCCCCUAAUGAGGCCCCAGAGGGCUGGGGUGGGGGGGUCUCUUUGUAGUAUCAGAGCAGGGCAGAUAGGCAAAAGGAGUCAGAGCCUGUGCCAGAAUAUGAGGUCAGUUGGCUGCUAGGUCAAUUAAGACAACUUCAGCAAGGGUGGUCAAUGUAGAGGGAAUUCAAUCGUUGGCAUUGCCUGAAAACAGGAAGCCAGAAUCUUUUUAUCUUGACGAACAAACCUCUAUUCAUUGGUCCUGACCUGAGCCACUUUGGUGAAUCCAGAUACCCUGAAGGUGUGACAAGACCUGCCUCACUUAUCCCCCAGCCUUCAGUGCUGGUCCCACAGAGAGCCAUAUGCUUGAGCUGAACUGCAGUUAAGCAGUGACAGCUACCCUCUGUCCAGGCUCUGAGGCCAGCUUUCUGCUCCGUGAGUCACUGACAGUGAGUCUCUACAGAGACUUUUUCUUUCUGUAGCAGCCAAGGUACCCUGCAAGCAACCCACGCCAUUGCCAUAUGUCUUAGUUUGUUUGUGUUGCUAUAAAGCAAUACCUGAGGCUGGGUAAUUUAUAAAGAAAAGAGGUUUGUUAGUUUCACAGUUUCACAGGCUGUAAAAGAAACAUGGCACCACCACCCGCUUUUGAUGAGGGCCUCAGGAAGCUUCCACUCAUGGCAGAAGACAAAGGAGAGCCAAUGUGUGCAAGACAGAGGAAGAGAGAGAGUGCCUAACAUCAAGAUUCUGCACUGGUCAUCAUUUCACAAACAUGAGCAGCAUGGCUGCUCCAAGACACACAGAGGGAAUAACCCCCAUUCACAUCACCAGGAAAUCCUUGCAUGGAGGCUAAAUGAACAGUUGUCCUUGGCCUUGAUCCGGAUACCCAGACGCCCUCUGAGAUGGACCUUGAGGGCCGUGCCAAUGUCUGCUCUCUGCUGAGGUAGGGCUCAUCUACUCCUUACAAGUAUAAGAACUUACUGCCAAACAUACCCUCCUCCAAGCCAUGGGUCCCCAGAUACAGUCAGGAGGACCCCAGUGGAUAGCUGGAACUCAGGACCUCAGGAGAGAUCCCAAGGCCUAUGCUCGAGUUCAGAGUUUUCUAAUUCAGGCUUGGAGCCCAGGAACAGAAGAUAACUAAGAACAAUACUGACAGAAAAAAAUAAUCACUUCAUUGACAUUACCCUUCACAGGACCGCCUGCUUCAGGCCUGUGCUUUGCAGCCUGGUUCAUUUGGGAAUGGUAUGCUUCACACCCAGCCCUGUUAAGUGUGAGUUGAUGAGGACCAUGAGCUUGGAAGAAGCCGUGGGGGCCUCUCUGUGUGUUUCUCUCUGCCCUGCUUUGAGACACUUCACAUAAAAGACUCUAUAAAAAUAAACUGUGGAGAUUUCAAUGCCAGUAAAAAUCCCAGUGGAGGUAGAAAACUAUUUAAAGAGCACAAGGACAUACAUUUAUCUUGUUGUGAAUCCCCGGCUGCCUGGUCCCUGAGCCUGACACACGGCAGAUGCCCAAUAAAUAUUAAUAGAUUGAUCAAUUUGUUGGCUGCUCAUCCAUUUGCAGCUUCAGCCAGCCCAUGGCUCUGCGUGCACACACCACAAGGAGAGAGAAUCCAUAGACUUCGACAGGAGAGAGCUGCUCAGCUGGCAGGAGAGCCUGCCACAAACCCUUGAACAUAAAUGUCCUGCCCUCCACUUCCAGCUCUACGUACUAACUGUAAAAUAAUGAUGUGGCAGAAAGUGAAGUGCAAAGACUGCCAAAUUCUAAGAAAGAACCUGGUUUCAUGCCUUUUAAUCCUUAUGAGUCAUUCCUUGGUCUGCGCCAAGCCCUGUGCUUUACAGCAAGAAUACAGAUGUCUUCAUUGAACUGCAUCUCAUUAGCUGGACCUAACAGAGUGCAAAUUUCUUUCCAAUGCCAUUUGAACUCAAUGCCCAGAUGCUUUUUUCCCCUGGGCCCGUGCAGAUGAAAUCUUGGGCUGGUUUAUAACUUUGAACACCCAGAAUAUUCCCAUUUCAGUUUAAGAUUCCCUCUGACUUAUCUAAUUGUUAGGCUCUCUUCACCUUCAGCCUGAGAAAUGGGCACCAUCAAUUUCUCCUUUCUCACCCAGCUUCACACCCAGGCCCUCCAGACUCAGUGGGUGUCUGACACCUCUACAGCUGGAGUCCUUCAGCAAUGGGCCCCCUGGGCUCAGCAGAUAUUUUGAGCUGGCCAUUUCUUCUGUGAGACAAUCUUGUGUUUUCUCAGGAAUUCCCCUGCAGAAGAUCUCUGAGUACAAACCCAUGCCCAGUGAUGUUGCCUCUGCCCAGCUACUUACAAGACCAUUCCUCGGCCCAUCCAGGGCUACCAAUCUGUUUAUGUAAUUUGUGCCAUGAAUAAAGGUACCAGACAAUUGAGUAAGUGGA